GUCAAUAGUUAUUAGUUAUUGAUGACAUUUGGUAAUAUAUCGAUAUCUCUGUGUUCUCUUAUGUCUGUGUCGUCAACAUUUGAACAUUUUUGAGCGGUCCGCUCUUUCUGACUGUAAAUAAAGCCGUUCUCCACCUCCUCUAACCUGAUUGGUUGUGAGGCAGACGCUGCUCCCCCGUGUCGUUCAGGAGCCCAAACAAAGUUAGCGUGCUACAAUAUCGGACAGUAGAAACCAACCAGAAAGUUCGGAAAAUUGUCUGAAUCCUCUUUUGGCCACGACUGCCGACACAAGCAAGAAAACAAAGUAAAUACCGGAGACUCUGGAGGAAUAACGGGCGCUUAAAACGGAGGUAGAGCGGACAAGAGCUAAAAAGCCGGGUCAACAUAAACCAUGGGGGACGCUUGGGGAUCUUGGUGACCCUGUAACCUUUCUGCUGGACAGGUAAACCGCUUUAACAAAGUAAGACAAGUGUCUGUAACAGAAGUGUUUCUUGUCAAACGGACCUGCUGUAGCGUGUUGUAGCGCCAUCGCUAAACUGUCCUCCCUCGGGUCCUGGACUAUGUCACUUUAUCCUCGUUGUAGAAGUCCUGCAAACAUUGUGUUUGCUGGUAGUCUGUUGGCAUCUACAGUAGCACCAAUGCUUUUUACUUUCACCUUGACUGGGCCCCAUUUGUAAUGAUCUGAAGUAUUGAUCUGCAUUAUAUCUGAAUUUAAUUGGAACGAUACGAGCGAGCAGGAGCGUCUGUUUGUGGGCGGGGCUUGAGGGGAGGGGAGGAGCUGAGGGGAAAACUGGUUGGCAUUCAAGGUUUCUCCUGAAAACUGGAACUACCUCAGAUUCUGACUACACCACCUUUAACAACCAAC
RNAcentral lists this long non-coding RNA (864 nucleotides) under Xyrichtys novacula (pearly razorfish). Lineage: Eukaryota; Metazoa; Chordata; Actinopteri; Labriformes; Labridae. The record is from RNAcentral.